This 1246-nucleotide ribosomal RNA is filed under the name Carrot proliferation phytoplasma. RNAcentral describes it as "bacterial SSU rRNA". It matches the Rfam family "Bacterial small subunit ribosomal RNA", at positions 153 to 1399 of the family's 1533-position model. Lineage: Bacteria; Bacillati; Mycoplasmatota; Mollicutes; Acholeplasmatales; Acholeplasmataceae. The record is from RNAcentral.
GAAACGACUGCUAAGACUGGAUAGCAGACAAGAAGGCAUCUUCUUGUUUUUAAAAGACCUAUUAAUAGGUAUGCUUAGGGAGGAGCUUGCGUCACAUUAGUUAGUUGGUGGGGUAAAGGCCUACCAAGACUAUGAUGUGUAGCCGGGCUGAGAGGUUGAACGGCCACAUUGGGACUGAGACACGGCCCAAACUCCUACGGGAGGCAGCAGUAGGGAAUUUUCGGCAAUGGAGGAAACUCUGACCGAGCAACGCCGCGUGAACGAUGAAGUAUUUCGGUACGUAAAGUUCUUUUAUUAGGGAAGAAUAAAUGAUGGAAAAAUCAUUCUGACGGUACCUAAUGAAUAAGCCCCGGCUAACUAUGUGCCAGCAGCCGCGGUAAUACAUAGGGGGCAAGCGUUAUCCGGAAUUAUUGGGCGUAAAGGGUGCGUAGGCUGUUAAAUAAGUUUAUGGUCUAAGUGCAAUGCUCAACAUUGUGAUGCUAUAAAAACUGUUUAGCUAGAGUAAGAUAGAGGCAAGUGGAAUUCCAUGUGUAGUGGUAAAAUGCGUAAAUAUAUGGAGGAACACCAGUAGCGAAGGCGGCUUGCUGGGUCUUUACUGACGCUGAGGCACGAAAGCGUGGGGAGCAAACAGGAUUAGAUACCCUGGUAGUCCACGCCGUAAACGAUGAGUACUAAACGUUGGGUAAAACCAGUGUUGAAGUUAACACAUUAAGUACUCCGCCUGAGUAGUACGUACGCAAGUAUGAAACUUAAAGGAAUUGACGGGACUCCGCACAAGCGGUGGAUCAUGUUGUUUAAUUCGAAGGUACCCGAAAAACCUCACCAGGUCUUGACAUGCUUCUGCAAAGCUGUAGAAACACAGUGGAGGUUAUCAGUUGCACAGGUGGUGCAUGGUUGUCGUCAGCUCGUGUCGUGAGAUGUUGGGUUAAGUCCCGCAACGAGCGCAACCCUUAUUGUUAGUUGCCAGCACGUAAUGGUGGGGACUUUAGCAAGACUGCCAGUGAUAAAUUGGAGGAAGGUGGGGACGACGUCAAAUCAUCAUGCCCCUUAUGACCUGGGCUACAAACGUGAUACAAUGGCUGUUACAAAGGGUAGCUGAAACGCAAGUUUUUGGCGAAUCUCAAAAAAACAGUCUCAGUUCGGAUUGAAGUCUGCAACUCGACUUCAUGAAGUUGGAAUCGCUAGUAAUCGCGAAUCAGCAUGUCGCGGUGAAUACGUUCUCGGGGUUUGUACACACCGCCCGUGA